GUAGGUGUGUAAAUGCCUCAGUGCACAAAUAACGAGACUCUGAGAAGGAAAGGCUAGGCGGCCUGCAACUAAGUUUCUUCUCCAGGAGAAGCAGCUGACAGUAGUUCUUUUUGCCCCCUCCGCCUGCUGCUUUGGGAGGGCGGCAGCGACUGUGGGUCCUACCAGGGACCUCCAGACUCUCCGACAUAGGUGCUCAUGGUUCCUCUCAAGCUUCAGGGGACACGCGGGGCCGAAGCACACAGUAGGCGGCUCAGAGACACGCCGCCUCGCCUGAGCCAAAAGCGGACCCGGCCCCACGGUGGAGACCUGGCACCUUUGGACCCCGGCGCACUCGCGGUCCAGGAAGACCAAGCCCG
Molecule: long non-coding RNA, 356 nt
Filed under: Mustela putorius furo (domestic ferret)
Lineage: Eukaryota; Metazoa; Chordata; Mammalia; Carnivora; Mustelidae
Description: lncRNA (ENSMPUG00000025224.1)
Source: RNAcentral